This 301-nucleotide ribosomal RNA is filed under the name uncultured bacterium. RNAcentral's name for it is "partial 16S ribosomal RNA". It matches the Rfam family "Bacterial small subunit ribosomal RNA", at positions 509 to 807 of the family's 1533-position model. The record is from RNAcentral.
CAGUAGCCACGGUAAUACGGAGGGGGCUAGCGUUGUUCGGAAUUACUGGGCGUAAAGCGCACGUAGGCGGCUUGGUAAGUUAGAGGUGAAAGCCUGGAGCUCAACUCCAGAAUUGCCUUUAAGACUGCCGAUCUAGCAGGUGAGAGAGGUAAGUGGAAUUCCGAGUGUAGAGGUGAAAUUCGUAGAUAUUCGGAAGAACACCAGUGGCGAAGGCGGCUUACUGGCUCAUACUGGACGCUGAGGUGCGAAAGCGUGGGGAGCAAACAGGAUUAGAUACCCCUGUAGUCCCUGUCUCUUAUAC